GUUUCCCUGAUCACUGUGCUGUCGGAGCCUUCUCCCAUGUCUCUGGGAGCUGCCAGCUUUUGUCUUCAGCCCUCAGAAGGUGCAGCUGUCCAGGCUUAUUCCGGAGGGCGCCAGUUGAAUACAGAGCCUACCCAUGGGCCGGAGGAACCGUGCUAUUUGGCACGCCGCCCUUGCCUGGGGGCCAGCCCCUCCGAGCCCGGAUGGAAGUGACGUUAGAAAGCCCUGUGUCCGCCCCAGUGAGUCCAGAGUCCUCCCAGGUCAGCAGAAGGAGCCGGAUGCAGGACCUCCUCACUGAGCAUCGCUGUAGCCAGGGCCUUUGCAUGCAUCACCUUCGUGACCCACAGUGACCCAGUGAGCCAGUCCCGUUACCAUCCCAUUCCACAGGUGAGGAUACUGAGGCCUGGUGAAGAGGGAGGUGUGGAUGGAACGCGUCCCCCCGGCUCUGAGACCCGGAGGCCGGAGGAUUUGAUAGAGCAGGCGCUCUCACCAGCAUUCCCUGCAGCUGUAGGGACCUCACUCUUAUGGCCAACGGAGACAGUCUCAAAGCGCCUUCUCCCUCAUGGACCAAGAUCUCAGGGCCACCGCUGGUCCUCCAAGAGCUCUCAGCCUCCAAGGGUGAAGUCAUCAUGAGACCGGAAAGGCAUUUCUCAGGUGGGAAAAUCCCUUGUUCUGCAGAUGGAAAUGUUAAGUGCUGGGAUUCUGUUGCCCUGGGAGACAGGGUUAUCUCCUUAACUGUUUAGGACCAGGCCGGAAGCCAAUGGUGAGGCUUGAAAUGUCCGCCUGGGAGACGCGCGGGCAGGGUUGGAGGGCCAGGUAGGUGGCUGGAGGGGAUGAUGCAUCAGGAGGCAAGGAGGCUGCAGGGCCCACCUGGCACCACUGAGGCACCUCACCUCUGCAGAGAGUGGGCUCAGCCUGGCCCAGCUAGCACAUCCGGGAUCUCCGAGAGGGCUGAUCCCACAGCCUCCCUACAGAUGGGGAACACGGGCCGGCAGGGUCA
Long non-coding RNA from Balaenoptera musculus (blue whale), 997 nucleotides. RefSeq lists it as uncharacterized. The transcript has 4 exons. The record is from RefSeq and is a predicted model, not a curated record. NCBI's taxonomy places the organism in Eukaryota, Metazoa, Chordata, Mammalia, Artiodactyla, Balaenopteridae.